GGCAGUAUCCAAGGGGAUUUGACAAAGCUAGGUUCAAUGAUUUCAAAUUGUUGACCAAUAUAACAGGUUCGGCAGUGUUCCAAAUUGAUAUGGACAGUAAACUGAACAAUUGUUUUGGUAUUUUGUAAGCACGAUCGACAAUUUGGAAGUGAUCAUUUAGUGGGUAGGUUUGUGUGUGGGUGGGGUUAAUUCACAGUACAUAAGCCGGAGAACAUUAAGAUGAAAAUAAUGACAAAUAUUUAAUGUGAUUCGCAAUGUAUAUAGAGGUGGAUGAAAUUGAGCAACCUUGCUUAUUGUAGGUAACAUUAAUGAGGACCUUUGACUGUCUGUGUGGGAGUGUAAAUUUUGUUGUUUGUCGGUUACUUGUAUUUCAAGGAAACACGGAGAGCUAAGAUGAACAGCAUUGUGGUAACUUACUGCUAGGGUUUCUCUCUCUUAAAACACCAUCUAGUCAAUCUAAAUUUACCUUACGAUAGUCUAAACCAUGAAUAAUAGUGAUGUUAAAAUACAAAGCCAGCAUUUCACCCACAGAGUGCAAUAGUGGCAGAGCUGCAAACGACCCCCACACGGAAGAGAAACAACAAUCAGUCAGUCAGUCAGUCAGUCAGUCAGUUCUCCCACAGCGGUGGCAGUGGUAUUCCGAAGCAGCGCAUGUGUGACGGCAUCAAUGAUUACUGCAGUAACGGAGAGGAUGAGUUUGUGCAGCUGUGUGGGAUUGAGGAGUGCCGGGAGAAGAAUGUCGGGUGUGUGUGAGUCUGUUUACAUCAACACUCGAGAGUCAUACUACUGCCAGUGCCGGCCAUGCAGGGUACAGACUCGUGUCAGAAAGUUCAAGUGUGAAGACGUUGACGAGUGCGUGGAGUCGCCCAGAUCCUCUCCCUGUGGACCAUCCC
This 893-nucleotide long non-coding RNA is filed under the name Portunus trituberculatus (swimming crab). RNAcentral describes it as "uncharacterized LOC123502069". The record is from RNAcentral. Lineage: Eukaryota; Metazoa; Arthropoda; Malacostraca; Decapoda; Portunidae.